AGAUUAAGCCAUGCAUGUGUAAGUAUAAACAACUUGUACUUGUGAAACUGCGAAUGGCUCAUUACAACAGUUAUAAUUUAUUUGACAAUGACUAAAAUUGAAAUAUUAUUUUUUACUACAUGGAUAGCCGUAGUAAUUCUAGAGCUAAUACAUGCGUUAAAUGAGGAAAGAAGUAUGGGAAGAUAUAUAAGUUUAUAAGAUUUAAGUAAGUAUUGGCAACAGUAUUUAUUUAGGUUUUAUAGAUGAGUAUAUUUUCUUUUCUUUUCAUUGUUUAUUCAAAAAAUCCGACUCGUGAGGGAAGGAUUGUAUUUAUUAGAUCGAAAACCAAUGUGAAUAGUUUAAUUAAAGUGAAUUAAAGGAAGUUUUCGGACUUUUGGAGAUUUUCUUUAAACUUAUUUUAAUUAUUUUCUUGCAAACUUUAAAACUUUUCAGGAAAAUAAUAAAACCUUGGUGAAUCAUGAUAAAUUUGUCGAAUCGUAUAUUAAGGUGGUAGUUAUUUAAGACUAUUUGUCAAAGGAUAGCCCCUGGGUAAUUAUUGCUAUACGAUAUGUCAUUCAAAUUUCUGACCUAUCAACUUUUGAUGGUAGGAUAGAGGCCUACCAUGGUUUUGACGGGUAACGGAGAAUUAGGGUUCGAUUCCGGAGAGGGAGCCUGAGAGAUGGCUACCACUUCCAAGGAAGGCAGCAGGCGCGCAAAUUACCCAAUCCCAAUUGAUGGUUUGGCUAAGUAAUUAAAAACUAUUUUAGCUUGACUUAUUUGGGGAGGUAGUGACAAAAAAUAACAAUACGGGAUCUUUUACAAGGUUCUGCAAUUGGAAUGGUUUUAAUGUAAAUGCUUAAAAGAGAAACAAUUAGAGGGCAAGUCUGGUGCCAGCAGCCGCGGUAAUUCCAGCUCUAAUAGUGUAUACUAAAAUUGCUGCAGUUAAAAAGCUCGUAGUUGGAUUUUUGAAAUUUUUAAAUAUAUUUUUCUUAAGGUUCUGAAUGAAUUUGAUAAAAUUAAUUGGCUCAUGUAAAAAGUGAAGUUGAUUAAUUGGGCGAAAUUGAUUAAAUUAAAAUACCAUUCCUAAUGUGUAUUUUAUGCAGUUUUGCUUUCUUUAAGAAAAAUGUCCUAAAAUAAUUCUUUUAUAUAGCAAUAUAUAAUUGAGGGAUAAAUUUAAUAUUCGAAAUUGUCAAUAUUCAAUUAAUUUUGAAUUUAUUGAUCGUUGUUUAAAGAAAUUAAAUAAAGUUAUAAGGAUUUAUUCUUAUAAUUUUAUCUUUAAGCCGAUUUCGGAAAUUUUACUUUGAAGAAAAUGGAGUGUUCAAAGCAGGCAUUUUCGAUUUUACUAAAUUUUGGCUUUCGGGUCAAGGUUUAUUAAAAUGAAAAAUAUUCGCAACUGAACACAUUAGCAUGGAAUAAUAAAAUAAGACACUUGAUAGAAUUAGUUAAAUAACCUUAAACAAGUUAUUUAACGACUUUCUAAUUUUAAAAGAAUUCUUGUAUAUGGGAUUUUUAUUGUAAAAAGUAAAAGUUUCGCUUUAAAUGCAAGUUUCCAAAUAAUAUUUCUUUUAAGAUUUCAUUUUUAUUGGUUGAUGAAACAAGUGUAAUGAUUAAGAGGGACAGUUGGGGGUAUCUGUAUUGCAUUGUCAGAGGUGAAAUUCUUAGAUUUAUGCAAGACAAACAAGUGCGAAAGCAUUUACCAAGGAUGUUUUCAUUAAUCAAGAACGAAAGUUAGGGGAUCGAAGGCGAUCAGAAACCGCCCUAGUCUUAACUAUAAACGAUGCCAACUAGGGAUUGGAGGGAAUUUAUAAAAAUGAAAACUAUUUUUUUGUAAAAGGGAAAAUAGGGUUUGUUUUUAUUGCUUUAAAUAAAACMACAAUAGAUUAGAAUUUUAAAGUAUARCMAUAUAUUUUUUAGUUUUUAGUUUAUUGUUUUUAAGCCCCGUCAGCACCUUUAGAGAAAUCAAUUAAGUCUCUGGGUUCUGGGGGGAGUAUGGUCGCAAGUCUGAAACUUAAAGAAAUUGACGGAAGGGCACCACCAGGUGUGGAGCCUGCGGCUUAAUUUGACUCAACACGGGGAAACUUACCAGGUCCAGACACGGGAAGGAUUGACAGAUUGAUAGUUUUUUCUUGAUUCCGUGGGUGGUGGUGCAUGGUCGUUCUUAGUUGGUGGAGUGAUUUGUCUGGUUAAUUCCGAUAACGAACGAGACCUCAACCUGCUAAAUAGGAUAAUAAUUUUUAUUUUCAUUUUUGAAUUUUCUAUUAGUAAUUUAAAGARAGGUAGUAAGCAAUUAUUAUUCUUUUUUUGAAGAAUUAGUAGAAAAUUUAGAAAUGAAAGAAAAAGAUUAAAUAUAAAAAUAAUUCGACAUGCUCUUUAGAGAAUUCUCUUAGAAUAACUUGUUAUUUUAGGGUGAGCUUUAAGGAGUGAAUUAUUGAAAUUAUUAUAAAUCAAAAUUUUUUAGUAUUUGRGGUAGUAGAUUAAAUUAGGAGGGAAAGUAUAGCAAUAUAUUUUUUCUUUUAGUUUAGUUUAUUAUUUUUCAGUAUUAAAAAAGACCUACUUAGAGGGACUACCAUGGUUGCACAUGGGGGAAGCAUGAGGCAAUAACAGGUCUGUGAUGCCCUUAGAUGUCCUGGGCCGCACGCGCGCUACACUGAUAAAGUCAACAAGUUUAUAUUAUAAUUUGAUUAACAAAGAAAAUAUAGAUUUUUAUAUUAGAUUGGGGUAAGCAAUUAUUUCAGUUUAGUAUAAUAUUUGUAUUUUUUAAUUAAAUUAUAAUUUCCUUAUCCGAAAGGAUUGGGUAAUCUUUUUAAACUUUAUCGUGAUGGGGAUUGAUCUUUGUAAUUUUGGAUCAUGAACGAGGAAUACCUAGUAAGCGCAAUUCAUCAGAUUGCGUUGAUUACGUCCCUGCCCUUUGUACACACCGCCCGUCGCUCCUACCGAUUGAAUGAUCAGAUGAAAUGUUCGGAUUGUUAAAUCAUUAAAAGUUUAAAAAUUUAUAUUAAUAUUGGUAGAUAAAGUAGCAAUAUUUUAUUUAUUCAAGUUAGUAUGAAUUCUUUUUUACCGAUUUAGUUAGAAGAACAGUAAAUCUUAUUAUUUAGAGGAAGGAGAAGUCGUAACAAGGUUUCCGGUAGGUGAAGUCAUAUGCUGUCUC
This 3127-nucleotide ribosomal RNA is filed under the name Monocercomonoides communis. RNAcentral's name for it is "partial small subunit ribosomal RNA". The stretch from base 669 to 3127 matches the Rfam family "Eukaryotic small subunit ribosomal RNA". The record is from RNAcentral. Lineage: Eukaryota; Preaxostyla; Oxymonadida; Polymastigidae.